GCAGUCGAGCGCACUCUUCGGAGUGAGCGGCGGACGGGUUAGUAACGCGUGGGAACGUGCCCUUCUCUAAGGAAUAGCCACUGGAAACGGUGAGUAAUACCUUAUACGCCCUUCGGGGGAAAGAUUUAUCGGAGAAGGAUCGGCCCGCGUUAGAUUAGAUAGUUGGUGGGGUAAUGGCCUACCAAGUCUACGAUCUAUAGCUGGUUUUAGAGGAUGAUCAGCAACACUGGGACUGAGACACGGCCCAGACUCCUACGGGAGGCAGCAGUGGGGAAUCUUGGACAAUGGGCGCAAGCCUGAUCCAGCCAUGCCGCGUGAGUGAUGAAGGCCUUAGGGUCGUAAAGCUCUUUCGCCAGAGAUGAUAAUGACAGUAUCUGGUAAAGAAACCCCGGCUAACUCCGUGCCAGCAGCCGCGGUAAUACGGAGGGGGUUAGCGUUGUUCGGAAUUACUGGGCGUAAAGCGCACGUAGGCGGAUCAGAAAGUAUAGGGUGAAAUCCCAGGGCUCAACCCUGGAACUGCCUUGUAAACUCCUGGUCUUGAGUUCGAGAGAGGUGAGUGGAAUUCCGAGUGUAGAGGUGAAAUUCGUAGAUAUUCGGAGGAACACCAGUGGCGAAGGCGGCUCACUGGCUCGAUACUGACGCUGAGGUGCGAAAGUGUGGGGAGCAAACAGGAUUAGAUACCCUGGUAGUCCACACCGUAAACGA
RNAcentral lists this ribosomal RNA (705 nucleotides) under Phaeobacter sp. RNAcentral's name for it is "bacterial SSU rRNA". It matches the Rfam family "Bacterial small subunit ribosomal RNA", at positions 57 to 809 of the family's 1533-position model. The record is from RNAcentral. Lineage: Bacteria; Pseudomonadati; Pseudomonadota; Alphaproteobacteria; Rhodobacterales; Roseobacteraceae.